GAACCAUUUUUAAUAAUAUUUUAAUUUUAUAUUUAUUUUUAUCACACACUUCACACAACAGCUCACCAUACUAAUAUAAAAUAUGAGAGGUAAAAAUAUCAAUAGUGUACUCGCCACUGUCUUUUUAUCGCCUUCAUUCAUCAUUCAUCUAAUUCAAAAAACCAAUAAUAAUGAAAAGGAGGUAGGUAGCGGCGGGGUCCACUACCGGUUAUUGUCUUGAGUAAUUGGAUUGAUGGUUGUUGGGUGUCGUGGAAUUGCCUAUAUAUUGAGUGCUUUGUGACUAUGGGAAGUAUACGGAGAAAGAAGGAAAAAUUGAGGAAAGAUACAGAGAGCCUUGAUGCACGGAGAGAGAAAGAGAGGGCCGAGACUUGUGGUUUUGAUGAUUCGAUAAUUCAUUUUUAGGUACCGAAAAUGAACGUGGAUUGCUAGUUUCGAGCUUAGGUGGAAGAGACUUCCAGUCUCACCACCCUCUAGUUUCAGGUACUAAGGAUGAAUGUGGAUUGUUAGUUUCGAGUUUAAGUGGAAGAGUUGGUGUUGCGGAUUUAUUUUAUUUAUUUAGAGAUUUUGUAUAUUUAUUUGAGAAAAUUGAUUUUUGUAUCAAUAAAAGGGGUAUUCCUUUUUAUGAUCUUGGGAGAACACUGAUGUAUUUGAAAUUUAAUGAGAUUGAAGAAUUUUAUUAAAAUUUUUGGGUCGUUACUGAAUGGUA
This is a long non-coding RNA of Cornus florida, 706 nucleotides long. RefSeq lists it as uncharacterized. Lineage: Eukaryota; Viridiplantae; Streptophyta; Magnoliopsida; Cornales; Cornaceae. The transcript has 3 exons. The record is from RefSeq and is a predicted model, not a curated record.